GACGAACGCUGGCGGCGUGCCUAAUACAUGCAAGUAGGACGCAGUUGCGAACGGGUGAGUAACGCGUAGGUAACUACCUAUUAGAGGGGGAUAACUAUUGGCAACGAUAGCUAAUACCGCAUACUAGUAGAUGGACCUGCGUUGUAUUAGCUAGUAGGUAGGGUAAUGACCUACCUAGGCAACGAUACAUAGCCGACCUGAGAGGGGGAGCGGACAAACUGUGAGUGAGACACGGCCGAGACUCCUACGGUAGGCAGCAGUAGGGAAUCUGCGGCAAUGGGGGGAACCCUGACCGAGCAACGCGGAGUGAGUGAAGAAGGUUUUCGGAUCGUAAAGCUCUGUUGUUAAGGAAGCGGUACUUAACCAGAAAGGGACGGCUAACUACGUGCCAGCAGCGGCGGUAAUUC
RNAcentral lists this ribosomal RNA (407 nucleotides) under uncultured bacterium. RNAcentral's name for it is "partial 16S ribosomal RNA". It matches the Rfam family "Bacterial small subunit ribosomal RNA", at positions 28 to 526 of the family's 1533-position model. The record is from RNAcentral.